AUGAACGCUGGCGGCGUGCUUAACACAUGCAAGUCGAACGAAGCACUUUGAAACAAUCCUUCGGGUGCGUUCUUAGUGACUUAGUGGCGGACGGGUGAGUAACGCGUGGGUAACCUGCCUCAUGCAGGGGGAGUAACAGUUAGAAAUGACUGCUAAUACCGCAUAAGCGCACAGUACCGCAUGGUACAGUGUGAAAAGAUUUAUCAGCAUGAGAUGGACCCGCGUCUGAUUAGCUAGUUGGUGAGGUAACGGCUCACCAAGGCGACGAUCAGUAGCCGACUUGAGAGAGUGAUCGGCCACAUUGGGACUGAGACACGGCCCAAACUCCUACGGGAGGCAGCAGUGGGGAAGUAUUGCACAAUGGGGGAAACCCGUACGAUGCAGCGACGCCGCGUGAGCGAUGAAGUAUUUCGGUAUGUAAAGACUCUUAUCAGCAAGGAAGAUAAUGACGGUACUUGACUAAGAAGCCCCGGCUAACUACGUG
This 484-nucleotide ribosomal RNA is filed under the name uncultured bacterium. RNAcentral describes it as "bacterial SSU rRNA". It matches the Rfam family "Bacterial small subunit ribosomal RNA", at positions 29 to 507 of the family's 1533-position model. The record is from RNAcentral.